Molecule: ribosomal RNA, 479 nt
Filed under: uncultured bacterium
Lineage: Bacteria
Description: bacterial SSU rRNA
Rfam family: Bacterial small subunit ribosomal RNA
Source: RNAcentral
GACGAACGCUGGCGGCGUGCCUAAUACAUGCAAGUAGAACGCUGAAGGAGGAGCUUGCUCUUUCUGGAUGAGUUGCGAACGGGUGAGUAACGCGUAGGUAACCUGCCUGGUAGCGGGGGAUAACUAUUGGAAACGAUAGCUAAUACCGCAUAACAGUAGAUAUCGCAUGAUAUUUGCUUGAAAGGUGCAAUUGCACCACUACCAGAUGGACCUGCGUUGUAUUAGCUAGUUGGUGAGGUAACGGCUCACCAAGGCAACGAUACAUAGCCGACCUGAGAGGGUGAUCGGCCACACUGGGACUGAGACACGGCCCAGACUCCUACGGGAGGCAGCAGUAGGGAAUCUUCGGCAAUGGACGGAAGUCUGACCGAGCAACGCCGCGUGAGUGAAGAAGGUUUUCGGAUCGUAAAGCUCUGUUGUAAGAGAAGAACGAGUGUGAGAGUGGAAAGUUCACACUGUGACGGUAUCUUACCAGAAAG